RNAcentral lists this ribosomal RNA (430 nucleotides) under uncultured Alphaproteobacteria bacterium. RNAcentral's name for it is "bacterial SSU rRNA". It matches the Rfam family "Bacterial small subunit ribosomal RNA", at positions 958 to 1385 of the family's 1533-position model. The record is from RNAcentral. Lineage: Bacteria; Pseudomonadati; Pseudomonadota; Alphaproteobacteria.
AACGCGAAGAACCUUACCAGCCCUUGACAUCCCUGUCGCGGGAACGAGAGAUCGAUCCCUUCAGUUCGGCUGGACAGGAGACAGGUGCUGCAUGGCUGUCGUCAGCUCGUGUCGUGAGAUGUUGGGUUAAGUCCCGCAACGAGCGCAACCCUCGCCCUUAGUUGCCAUCAUUCAGUUGGGCUCUCUAAGGGGACUGCCGGUGAUAAGCCGCGAGGAAGGUGGGGAUGACGUCAAGUCCUCAUGGCCCUUACGGGCUGGGCUACACACGUGCUACAAUGGCGGUGACAAUGGGACGCAAUGGGGCAACCCUGCGCAAAUCUCAAAAAGCCGUCUCAGUUCGGAUUGCACUCUGCAACUCGAGUGCAUGAAGUUGGAAUCGCUAGUAAUCGUGGAUCAGCACGCCACGGUGAAUACGUUCCCGGGCCUUGUA